ACGUAGGGUGCGAGCGUUAAUCGGAAUUACUGGGCGUAAAGCGUGCGCAGGCGGCUUUGCAAGACAGAUGUGAAAUCCCCGGGCUUAACCUGGGAACUGCAUUUGUGACUGCAUGGCUGGAGUGUGGUAGAGGGUAGUGGAAUUCCCGGUGUAGCAGUGAAAUGCGUAGAGAUCGGGAGGAACAUCUGUGGCGAAGGCGACUACCUGGACCAGCACUGACACUGAGGCACGAAAGCGUGGGGAGCAAACAGGA
This 253-nucleotide ribosomal RNA is filed under the name uncultured prokaryote. RNAcentral describes it as "partial 16S ribosomal RNA". It matches the Rfam family "Bacterial small subunit ribosomal RNA", at positions 525 to 777 of the family's 1533-position model. The record is from RNAcentral.